GAUGAAGAACGUAGCGAAAUGCGAUAAGUAGUGUGAAUUGCAGAAUUCAGUGAAUCAUCGAAUCUUUGAACGCACAUUGCGCCCUGUGGUAUUCCGCAGGGCAUGCCUGUUCGAGCGUCAUUGACACCCUCAAGCUCUGCUUGGUCUUGGGCGUUUGUGCCUGCCGUUGCGCAGGGACUCGCCUCAAACUCAUUGGCAGCCUGCCUUUGCCGGUCUUUGCACAGCACAGUCGUGCCAAAGCCGCGGUGAGCAGGCGCUCCACAAGCCCUUUUCAGCUUGACCUCGGAUCAGGUAGGAAUACCCGCCGAACUUAAGCAUAUCAAUAAGCGGAGGA
Molecule: unclassified non-coding RNA, 334 nt
Filed under: soil metagenome
Description: partial contains 5.8S ribosomal RNA, internal transcribed spacer 2, and large subunit ribosomal RNA
Rfam family: 5.8S ribosomal RNA (bases 1-120)
Source: RNAcentral